Molecule: small nucleolar RNA, 140 nt
Organism: Cotesia glomerata
Lineage: Eukaryota; Metazoa; Arthropoda; Insecta; Hymenoptera; Braconidae
Source: RefSeq, a predicted model, not a curated record
UAUUGGCUUUAUCGAAGCUAUGACUUUUUCGUAAAUAAAAUGUCGUGGUCAAAAGUAAGCCAAUAGUAAAAAACUCUUUUUUAGGUCACUGGCUAAGUUACUGUUAUACUUUUUCAGUAUCACCCAAAAAGAGUACAAUU